AUACUCUCUGACAGUGGAAUGAAGGAAAGGUAUACCAUUCUGACUUUAGUAUACGUCCCCAGGAACGUGUUUACACUGAGAAGCAUGUGGUAUGAUGAAGGUCACUUGGCAGUUUGGCCCUUUCUUCUCUUUGGCAGUGGGAGGCCAUGAGAGCCGGAAUUCUCACGAGCAGCAGCGGCCCUGUGGCCCUCAGCAGAGGGACUGACUGGAAGCAGAUGUGGCACAAGUCUCCCCAUGCGGCUUCACUGUUGACUCUCAGGACAUCUACCCUGGGGACUUCCCGCACCAAGAAGACCCUGAGUCACAUGCUUGCUGCUGUCCCCAUCUAUGAUGGCUGUAAAUUCCAUUUGCCUGCUGCUGUCCAUGAAUGGAAGUCUACCUGGGACCCUCUCCUGACCUGGAGACCCACACAUCCAAAUGCCUACUUGGCAGCUCCCGUGGAUGUUUCGUGAUCAGCAUUCCCAACAGUGAAAUCCUGAAUGCUCUUCCCCAAAUCCACUCCACACACGGCCUUCCCUAUCCCUUGUGGUGGCAACUGAGUCCACUGUGGGUCCAUGGGCCCCCCUUUCUUUGACUCCCCAGCUCCAGUCCCCUAGCAAGACCAGCUGGAUCUGCUCUUUGGAUUGCCAGGAUCUGCCCACGUCUCAGGGCCCUCACUGCCUGGCCCACACAUGAUGCUCAAAGACACUCUCACACAUGUCCAAAUAUUUAAAAGUUAUACAUCAAACCCACAAACUUUAAUUUGAUAAGUAAAAAAUGUUUAAAUAAACAAUUUUAAAAGUA
Molecule: long non-coding RNA, 783 nt
Organism: Homo sapiens (human)
Lineage: Eukaryota; Metazoa; Chordata; Mammalia; Primates; Hominidae
Exons: 2
Source: RefSeq, a predicted model, not a curated record